UCUAAUAUGACAGAAAAUGUGAAGAGUUUAAAACUCUUUUAUAAAAGAAUACUUUUUAUUAGAA
RNAcentral lists this transfer RNA (64 nucleotides) under Rhipiphorothrips cruentatus. RNAcentral describes it as "tRNA-Leu". The record is from RNAcentral. Lineage: Eukaryota; Metazoa; Arthropoda; Insecta; Thysanoptera; Thripidae.